UUCAAUGAUGAAAACCUGGAGUAGGAAGUGCAGUCAGAUGCGAAAACUGACUAUUGUUUCAAAUCCAAUUUUCUGAGU
Molecule: small nucleolar RNA, 78 nt
Organism: Cololabis saira (Pacific saury)
Lineage: Eukaryota; Metazoa; Chordata; Actinopteri; Beloniformes; Belonidae
Product: small nucleolar RNA SNORD49
Exons: 1
Source: RefSeq, a predicted model, not a curated record